GGAAUUUUCCGCAAUGGGCGAAAGCCUGACGGAGCAACGCCGCGUGAGGGAUGAAGGCCUCUGGGCUGUAAACCUCUUUUAUCAAGGAAGAAGAUCUGACGGUACUUGAUGAAUAAGCCACGGCUAAUUCCGUGCCAGCAGCCGCGGUAAUACGGGAGUGGCAAGCGUUAUCCGGAAUUAUUGGGCGUAAAGCGUCCGCAGGCGGUUUUGUAAGUCUGUUGUUAAAGCGUGGAGCUUAACUCCAUUUCAGCAAUGGAAACUGCAAGACUAGAGUGUGGUAGGGGCAGAGGGAAUUCCCGGGUGUAGCGGUGAAAUGCGUAGAUAUCGGAGACACCGGGUGGGCGAAGCGCUCUGCUGGGCAUACCUGACGCUCAUGGACGAAAGCCAGGGGGAGGCGAAAGGGGGUAUACCCCUGUAGUC
Molecule: ribosomal RNA, 420 nt
Filed under: uncultured cyanobacterium
Lineage: Bacteria; Bacillati; Cyanobacteriota
Description: bacterial SSU rRNA
Rfam family: Bacterial small subunit ribosomal RNA
Source: RNAcentral